GACGAACGCUGGCGGCGUGCCUAAUACAUGCAAGUUGAGCGCUGAAGGUUGGUACUUGUACCAACUGGAUGAGCAGCGAACGGGUGAGUAACGCGUGGGGAAUCUGCCUUUGAGCGGGGGACAACAUUUGGAAACGAAUGCUAAUACCGCAUAAAAACUUUAAACACAAGUUUUAAGUUUGAAAGAUGCAAUUGCAUCACUCAAAGAUGAUCCCGCGUUGUAUUAGCUAGUUGGUGAGGUAAAGGCUCACCAAGGCGAUGAUACAUAGCCGACCUGAGAGGGUGAUCGGCCACAUUGGUACUGAGACACGGCCCAAACUCCUACGGGAGGCAGCAGUAGGGAAUCUUCGGCAAUGGACGAAAGGCUGACCGAGCAACGCCGCGUGAGUGAAGAAGGUUUUCGGAUCGUAAAACUCUGUUGGUAGAGAAGAACGUUGGUGAGAGUGGAAAGCUCAUCAAGUGACGGUAACUACCCAGAAAGGGACGGCUAACUACGUG
Molecule: ribosomal RNA, 497 nt
Filed under: uncultured bacterium
Lineage: Bacteria
Description: partial 16S ribosomal RNA
Rfam family: Bacterial small subunit ribosomal RNA
Source: RNAcentral